AGCGUGGGUGGGCGGGAGGCGCCACGUCACGGCUAUUGUGGCUGUCCCGGUAUAUAAGGUCCCGCAGGCGCGCCGCGCUCCCCACCUUGCCUGCGCCCGCCCGGAGCCAGCGGUUCUCCACGCAGCCAACAUCCCGAGAGACGCGCCGUACACCGACGGAGGGGACAUGGGCAGAGCGAUGGUGGCCAGGCUGGGGCUGGGGCUGCUGCUUCUGGCACUGCUCCUACCCACACAGAUUUAUUCAAAUCAAACAGCUGUGACAAUUCCAAAUAACUCCUCCCAGAGUACCUUGGUUGCCGCAAAUCCAGCCAAUACCACCAAGGCAGGUGGCAAUGCCCUGCAGUCAACAGCCAGUCUCCUCAUGGUCUCGCUUUCUCUUCUACAUCUCUACUGUUAAGAGACUCAGGCCAAGAAACAUCUGUACUUCCCCAUCUUCUAAAUCCAAUCCAAAUGGCAUCUAGAAGUCCAGUGUGGCAAGGAAAAAACCGGUCUUCAUUGAAUCUACUGAUUCCACACCUCCUUUUAUUAACACAGAAAAUGUCGAGAACCCAAAUCGAUUGGUUUGAAGAACAAGUGAAGGGUUUGACUAGAUGAUGGAUUGCCAGUAUUAAGUCAGCUGGAGUUUCAUGUACAAGAGGAAGAGUGGCAACAUUCAAAAUUAGUAAAAAUGUGAUUUCCCUGAAUGUGGCUUCAGAAAUAUGGACGCUUAAAACUACCUUGAAAAUAAGAAUAGAUUAUAUACCUUUGUCUAGAAAUAAAGGAUAUGAUGUGGAAUGGAGAUUCCGUUUUCAUUUGGUUCAUUAGUUCUAUAAGGCCAUAAAAACAGGUAAUAUAAAAAAGCUUCCAUGAUUCUAUUUAUAUGUACUUUAGAAGGAACUUCCAAUUGUUACUGUAAAUCCUCUGUAUUGUUUCAGCAGUACUAAUUUAAUGCCGAUAUACUCUAGAUGAAAAUUUACAUUGUUAAGCUAUCACUGUUCUUUUGGUAACUGAACACUUUUUUUUUUCUCUGAGGCUUUGGAUUUAACAUUGCAUUUGACCUUUUAUGUAGUAAUUGACAUGUGCCAGAGCAAUAAAGGAUUGGAAUCUCCCCCAAGGCCAAGCAUCAUGAGAAACUCUUGCAUAUCCUUAGAGUCAAGUGGUAGGCAUUUCCUGGCACCCAUUUCCAUUCAACAAGAGCACCAGAUCCUUUUAGCUAAACUGAUUCCAAAGACUAAAUAGAAUUGCAUUGACUUCAACUAAUUACAAAAUGAGUUUUAUUUCUGCAUAUGUUGAAUACUUUUUAUAAUUUAAGGAAUGAUCUGUUUUGAAGGCAAAAUUACAAAUCUGGAAAUUAAAAAGGGCAAAAAAGUGAAGGAGCCAAAAGUGUAAAUCAAGCAUUUGGAAAGUUAAGAUGGGAAGCUAACUUUCAUUAAAUUUGCAAACACUUUUAUACUCUUUCUGUAAAUAUUUUUUUUUAAAAAUAAAAUCAGCGACAACUAUGGGUCAGCAUAGCACAUUUGGAACACUUUUUGUUAUCAGUCAAUAUUUUUAGAUAGUUAGAACCUGGUUCUAAGCCUAAAAGUAGCCUUGAUUCUGCAGUAAAUCUUUUACCACUGCCUCGAUACACAGAAACCUUUUUAAAAAUAGGCACUCCGUGAAGUCUUUUGUUCGCAUGGUCACACACUGAUGCUUAGAUGUUCCAAGUAUCUAAUAUGGCCACAGUAGUCGUGGUGACCGAAGUCAAUUUUUCCAUCUUUAGAAACCUACAUGGGAACAACUAGAUGGGACAGAUCUAAAGCUACUGUGUGUGUGAAUGAACACUCCCCUUGCUUUGUACCUGAAUGCCAUACAACUAUUUUGAAUUGUAUAUUGUGUUUGUGUAUUUAUGCUUUGAUUCAUAGUAACUUCUCAUGUUAUGGAGUUGAUUUGCAUUGAACACAAACUGUAAAUAAAAAUAUGGCUGAAAGAGCAA
Otolemur garnettii (small-eared galago) is the source of this 1951-nucleotide long non-coding RNA. RefSeq lists it as uncharacterized. The record is from RefSeq and is a predicted model, not a curated record. The transcript has 2 exons. NCBI's taxonomy places the organism in Eukaryota, Metazoa, Chordata, Mammalia, Primates, Galagidae.